Molecule: ribosomal RNA, 253 nt
Filed under: uncultured bacterium
Lineage: Bacteria
Description: partial 16S ribosomal RNA
Rfam family: Bacterial small subunit ribosomal RNA
Source: RNAcentral
UACGUAGGGUGCGAGCGUUAAUCGGAAUUACUGAGCGUAAAGCGUGCGCAGGCGGUUUUGUAAGCCAGAUGUGAAAGCCCCGGGCUCAACCUGGGAAUGGCAGUGGAAACUAGGGGACUGGAAUCUGGCAGAGGGGGGUGGAAUGCCGCGUGUAGCAGUGAAAUGCGUAGAGAUGCGGCGGAACACCGAUGGCGAAGGCAGCCCCCUGGGCUGAGAUUGACGCUCAGGCACGAAAGCGUGGGGAGCAAACAGG